This 217-nucleotide long non-coding RNA is filed under the name Amborella trichopoda. RNAcentral's name for it is "long non-coding RNA (ATRI_LNC004717)". Lineage: Eukaryota; Viridiplantae; Streptophyta; Magnoliopsida; Amborellales; Amborellaceae. The record is from RNAcentral.
CAAGCCUUCCGAAGCCCAAAGCCCACAAUCUUGUCAAGUUUUUACGAGAAUACAAAGAUUUCUUUGCGUGGACCUACAGCGAAAUGCCUGGCCUCAAUCCACAGGAUGUAACACACUCGCUUGCCGUCAAUCCUGAUCACCAGCCACGCAAACAACCACGACGAAGGCCACCUCGAACUCCAAAUCAAGGAUGAGAUUCAUAAGCUAUUCAACGUCG